RNAcentral lists this long non-coding RNA (723 nucleotides) under Homo sapiens (human). RNAcentral describes it as "HSALNT0309790". The record is from RNAcentral. Lineage: Eukaryota; Metazoa; Chordata; Mammalia; Primates; Hominidae.
GUUUUAGAAGAUGUGAUGCAUUGGCCUCCCCCUGCAGGAGUUGGGAACGCGCAGAUUCCGCGAAUCACAGUUUUCAGAUAUGGCUGAAAUUGAUAACCCAAGUGAGCAGCUCAGGGAUCAGGACCUGAGGUUUUCAGCACAAACGACAAGAGGUUCAAGUAGAAAAGCAGAAGCGGAACAUGCAAUAUGCAGCCCGUGCCUGGCUUCCCUCACUCAGCUUGACGAAAUCACAGAACAGAUUGUUCUCAAGGAGGCCCCCGUGGUGUUUUCCGGAGCUCCUCUGCCAGGUCUCCAGUUGCGGCAGGGUCCACGUCGCCCCUCCCCUUGGCUCUGGGUUGGCCUUGUCACCAACGUAGGUGGUGGGGCCACAUGGUGCCACCUGCUCCCUCUGCACACCUCUGGGCCCACCAGGUCCUAGUGGGCUGGCAUCUGCUGCGGGGGCUCUGGUGUGGGUGGAAACACUGGGUCCCCCCAGGCUCCUCCUCAUCCCCUGCUCCCAACUUCUUCCUCCAUCCCCCAACAGCCCUCAGAGCUCAAGGGAGGGGGCAUUGACAAAGGGUCUCCACCAGCCUGGUCCUCUUAGCUUUUCUGGUCUAUGAGCUCAGGCAAAAUGGCCAGGCAGGCCCCAGGCCACCUCAGCCCAGCUUAGCCCAGUCCACUCUAGCUUAGUUCAGCCUAGCCCAGUGCAACCCUGUUCACCUCAGUCCAGCCCAGCCAAGCUCA